GGUUGACCUCGGAUCAGGUAGGAAUACCCGCUGAACUUAAGCAUAUCAAUAAGCGGAGGAAAAGAAACCAACAGGGAUUGCCCCAGUAACGGCGAGUGAAGCGGCAACAGCUCAAAUUUGAAAUCUGGCCUUAGGGUCCGAGUUGUAAUUUGUAGAGGAUGCUUUUGGUGAGGUGCCUUCCGAGUUCUCUGGAACGGGACGCCAUAGAGGGUGAGAGCCCCGUCUGGUUGGACACCGAGCCUCUGUAAAGCUCCUUCGACGAGUCGAGUAGUUUGGGAAUGCUGCUCUAAAUGGGAGGUAUAUGUCUUCUAAAGCUAAAUAUUGGCCAGAGACCGAUAGCGCACAAGUAGAGUGAUCGAAAGAUGAAAAGCACUUUGAAAAGAGAGUUAAAAAGUACGUGAAAUUGUUGAAAGGGAAGCGCUUGUGACCAGACUUGGGCUUGGUCAAUCAUCCGGCGUUCUCGCCGGUGCACUUCUCCAGCUCAGGCCAGCAUCAGUUUGCCGCGGGGGACAAAGGCAUCGGGAAUGUGGCUCCUCCGGGAGUGUUAUAGCCCGUUGCGUAAUACCCUGCGGUGGACUGAGGUUCGCGCUCCGCAAGGAUGCUGGCGUAAUGGUCAUCAGCGACCCGUCUU
This 631-nucleotide ribosomal RNA is filed under the name Atractium crassum. RNAcentral describes it as "eukaryotic LSU rRNA". It matches the Rfam family "Eukaryotic large subunit ribosomal RNA", at positions 1 to 655 of the family's 3401-position model. The record is from RNAcentral. Lineage: Eukaryota; Fungi; Ascomycota; Sordariomycetes; Hypocreales; Nectriaceae.